AUUAUCUCAUUUUAUAUUUACAACAACCCUGGGAGCUUGUUACUAUUAUUACCACCAUUAUAAAUGGAAUUGAAAGUAGACAGAACAAUAGUUGCAAAGAGGAGACUAUUAUGUAUAAUGUUGAGGAGUAAAAGAUGAAAAUAAGUUCUUAUAAUUAAGAAUCAGUGAAAUGGGCAUCAAAUGUUCAGUAAAUUUUAUUUCCUCUUCCGGUCAAGAUGGGGCCUUAGAAGCAGUGAAAGUUCAGACCUCAGAAAACCCUUCCUUACCCAUCAGAAACUGAAUGCUCCUAGGACACUGAAAUUCAAACUGAACAACAGGACAGACCCAGGGAACCCUCCUCCUGGACCUGGAUCAAAAGUUUCCUCAACUCAUUUCCUACAAUGAUGAAUGAUGUCUAUCUCUGGGGGUAUUCCUUUCCUACCAUAGUUCCUACCAGGCCUGAUGAUUUCACCAAAUAAGAAAGAAGAAAAGGAGAAGAACAAGAAAAGAACCCUUGUAUAUCCACCAUUAUGGGGCCAUGAUAUGAAGCAAGAGCCAAUAAAGGUGAUUAGGAAGUAGUAGUCA
This 564-nucleotide long non-coding RNA is filed under the name Monodelphis domestica (gray short-tailed opossum). Its description in RNAcentral is "lncRNA (ENSMODG00000037303.1)". Lineage: Eukaryota; Metazoa; Chordata; Mammalia; Didelphimorphia; Didelphidae. The record is from RNAcentral.